AGUGAACGCUGGCGGUAGGCCUAACACAUGCAAGUCGAACGGCAGCACAGUAAGAGCUUGCUCUUACGGGUGGCGAGUGGCGGACGGGUGAGGAAUACAUCGGAAUCUACUUUUUCGUGGGGGAUAACGGAGGGAAACUUACGCUAAUACCGCAUACGACCUACGGGUGAAAGCAGGGGAGCUUCGGACCUUGCGCGAUUGAAUGAGCCGAUGUCGGAUUAGCUAGUUGGCGGGGUAAAGGCCCACCAAGGCGACGAUCCGUAGCUGGUCUGAGAGGAUGAUCAGCCACACUGGAACUGAGACACGGUCCAGACUCCUACGGGAGGCAGCAGUGGGGAAUAUUGGACAAUGGGCGCAAGCCUGAUCCAGCCAUACCGCGUGGGUGAAGAAGGCCUUCGGGUUGUAAAGCCCUUUUGUUGGGAAAGAAAAGCAGCAGGUUAAUCCCCCGCUGUUCUGACGGUACCCAAAGAAUAAGCACCGGCUAACUUCGUG
This 492-nucleotide ribosomal RNA is filed under the name uncultured bacterium. RNAcentral describes it as "partial 16S ribosomal RNA". It matches the Rfam family "Bacterial small subunit ribosomal RNA", at positions 29 to 507 of the family's 1533-position model. The record is from RNAcentral.